This 4110-nucleotide long non-coding RNA is filed under the name Nicotiana benthamiana. RNAcentral's name for it is "long non-coding RNA (NBEN_LNC026390)". Lineage: Eukaryota; Viridiplantae; Streptophyta; Magnoliopsida; Solanales; Solanaceae. The record is from RNAcentral.
ACAAUACAAGAUAUACACGAUACAACACACGCUGAUAGAGAGGCCUGAAAAAACACUGUGCAGCUUUUGGACACAAACCCCCCCUCUCGAUCAUCUUCUUCAUUGAACCCUAGCAGCACCAUGGCCGCUGCUCCUUCUUCAUGAAGCUCGAAGAUACGCCUAGAUAGGGAGAGGAAGCUGCGGUUCAUGUCUUCUUCAAAAAUGAAGCAGCAGCCAUGAGAGAACCCAGAAGUCAUUGAACACUAAAAAACAGAAACCCUCACGUCUCUUCUCCUUCCUCGGCAGUCGCUGAACACCAUAACACACAGACACGAGAGACCUAGGAGCCAAACAAUGCCAUCAACAAACCCAACUAGUCCCCCUCCUCACCAAAUACACGCCUGGAAAUUGAGCAGCGCAAAUCCCUCUUAAAACCGAGGACGAAAUAAAAAAGCAAGUGACGGAAUCCUUUCGCAAACGAACAACAGAAGCUUUGGAUGGAAAUUAGUUCAUUUUUCUUUCUCUGAGUUUCGAUUCUGGUCCUAACAUGGAGUUUGGUUGAGGUCACAUUGGAUUUCAAGGUAUCCGGUGUCGAUUCGAGGUUCCAGCGAGGUCGUUUUUAGUAGUUUUUCGGUCGUUGUUCAACCGUUGUGGUCGUCAUCUCGAUGUUGUGCUUGAUUCGUUAAUGCAAAGCUGUUGUUUCUCGGCCAUUAUUCGGUAUGCCUUACAUUUCAAUUUAUACAAUGUUAGGUUUCCCCUCAUUCUAACUGGUGACGUUAUAGAAAUGCAUUAGUGACGUUGGAAGCUAUUUGGUUGAAAUAUCCUCUUUCUUUGUUUCGAUUAGGCGGAUAUUGUGACAUUAUUCAUUCUUUUGCUUCACUGAAUUAUCUUUGCUUUCUGUUCGACAACUCGUUCUCAUGACUAAGAAUGAUGUUUCAGUUGAUUAUAAAUGUCGAACCUUAUCGAAUUUGUUCACCACCAUUGAGGUAAGGUUUCAGUUAUUCAAUAUUAUUACUUGUUGGUUUGGUACAACGUUUAAAGACACAUCAGUUGGCUUAGAAGGUUGUUGAAAGUUCCUAUUAAUUUAUUGGACUAGCCAUUGGUCUUGAAAAUUGAUUUAAGCUGUAGGUUAAUUUUGGGGUAAGAUGAAGUUGGGUUUGAGACUUGGUUGAUACUGAGACGGAAUUGGAUGUAAGGUAACAUUCUGCUUCUCUUAUGUUAUUUCUCUUUUAGUUACUCCGGUUGCUAGAAAAACUUUUAGACUCAUAAGUAAUCAUCGUGACCAUGGAUAUAGUUUUGUGACGUAGCUGCGACACUUAAUUUCGAAUUAGUGUUAAUUAUGAUCAUUUGUAUUUAAAUGUUUUUCCCUUUUAUAAUUUGAGGUGCGCGAUGCCAAAUAGAAAUAACAAUUGCAUGGCACCUCACUUUUAUUUCAUCUUGAAUUGAUCCUUAGAUUCUGAGGCGUACCAUUUAGUAAAUUCCAUGGAGCGUAAUUGCUUUAGGCGCGUUAUUUUAAUAAUUUACCUUUCCUAAAUUUAGGUGCACAUUUAUGUGACCCAAAUCCAAAUCUAAACAACGUUAGAUAAAAUGUGGCGUGGACCGCGGGUGCAUUUAUGUGACAUAGUUCAUAUGUUUUAAAUGACGUUGAAAUUUUCUUUUAAAAAUGAAUAAAAGCGGUUAAGGUUAAAAAUAAACAUAGGUUCAAAACUUGUUAUAAAAUUAGAUAAUUAAGCCGAAUAUAAUAGUUGAGCGACCGUUUUAAAACCACAGAAUCCAUGAAUGUCUAACACCUUCUCCUGGGUUAAUAGAGUUUCUUACCCGGAUUUUUGGUUUGCGGACUGUUAAACAUAGUCAUUCUUUCCUCGAUUCGGGAUUUUAAACGGUGACUUGAGACACCAUAAAUCUCCCAAGUGAUGACUCAGAAAUUCUCUUAAAUAAUUGAAUCUCGUUUCAAUUGUCCUUUAAUUGAAAAAACUCCCUUAUCUACGCCCUUCGCUACGUUGUAGUAGCCAAAAGGAUGUGUAACAGCUCUGGCGACUUGGUUGGGGACCGAACUUAAAAUCUCUAGUUCAAGGUUCAAGAAUUCGAGCUUAGAAUAAAUGUUGUAUUUGGGUUUUAUUAUUUGAUUUUACAUGUUGACUUAAUGUGCAAAAUGAUGCAUUUACCGCUUUGAUAUUAUUUGAACUAUAUAUAAACUGUUACGAAACCCGUCUCUAUUUAUCUUUGGGGAUGUGCUCGCUGGUCGAGACUCCCUAUUCUGUUAGUUUCAUACCUUGAAAUAAGAAAGAAGCUCGGACCAGUUACUAAGCCGGAUGAUCUUGCGAGUCCUCGAUACGCAACCCCCUCCUCGACUCGAGUUGUCCGCUUGGGUAACAGUCUAGAACAAAUACCCACGUUCUGAACCUAGUAUAACAAAGCCUCAUGCCGGAUCCCUAGUAGGAGCAUUUGUUUGCAUCAUGUGCAUUCAACUUAGGGGACUCAACACAGGGGUUGGGUCCGUCUAGGAUAGGUGUACCCAAAUAACAGACCAUCCUGAUGCAUCAUAAUGUGCUACAUGUUGCAUUUCUCCAAGGGUAAAAGGGUUAUUUGGCGGACCAAUGACAGCUGAGGGUAAAUGAAAAAAUGAAAAAAAAAAAAGAGAAAACAAUGAAAAAAAAAGAAAAGAGAGGGUGAAGUGUGAAAAUAAAGCAAGCAGGAUUUAGUUAUGUUUUUGUUACAUUUUUUUAUUUGAAAAAAGAAAAGAUAUACAUAAAAAAUUCAAAAAAAAAAAAGAAGAAGAGAUUUUUCACAUUUUUUCCCAAAAACUAAUAAAAAAAGGGAAAAAGAAAAUUCAAAAGAUUUUGCAUGUUUCAACAUUUUACAAGAAAAAACAAAAAAAAGAAUGUUUUCUCUGAAAUUAGCUGUUUUUUAUUUUGUUGCCUGUAUCCAAUUUGCCCGAACCACACAACCCUGAUUCUCGUCUUUAGGGGAGUGAUACGUAUGCAACCCAAAUAUGGUCCGGUCUUCCUAGUAAAUCAUAGGUUCUCGAUUUUGCGGGGUCAUAGCUAAAAUUUGCACUUCUAGCCACUUUUAGCUACAUAUGUUAGUUUUUGAAUUCAGAAGUUGUUUGUUGGAAAUUGUGUGAAUUGAGUUGUGUCAAUAGACUCUACUAUUGAAAUUCUUAGAGUUCAAGUUGGAAUUCUCUUGUCAAAUUUCUUUUAUGUUGACGGAAGUUCUUUGAGAUCAGUCUUUGUUUGUUGGAGCAUUGUUUUGUGAUUUUAAUUCGAUCUAUGAAGGUUCGUGGGCCAAUAUUUGAAAGGAAGUUCUGCAUUGAACAUCAAUUAUCUUUGUGCUGAGACUGUGGAGUUCUAAAACUUGUCUUGUUUAAGUUCGCCACAAUUUGUGAAGUUUUUGGAGUAAAUUGAUAGCUGAAAUUCUCCUAGUUUGAACUUGUUACCACUGGUUUCUAAUAAUUGUUAUUAUUGUUGAGUUUAAUAGGAGGGGAUUCAAUGGGCCUAGAGAUUGAGCAUGCUUGAAUUGUGAUUUGCUUGAAUUUCCGAUAAGCUAUAUUUAUCGAAAAUUUAUGUUAGUCGAGAUUAUGCUCGAGUUUAGCAGUGAUAGUUUGAAAUUUGGGUUUUACUUCUAAAAUGUUCUCCUUGUUGAAUUGAGCCCUUGUUACAUAAACUAUUGUCCAGUUGAUUAGAAUCUGCUGACAGAAGCUGCAUGUUUGCUGGAAAAUAAUUUGCUGCUUGUUUUAUGUUGCUGUAAAGGAUUUCAUACUUGCUGUCCACAACCAUGCAUUGUUCAUUUUUCGCUCAACAAGGAAGAUUUCCACAUUUCUUUAAGUGAUAGUGUUACUAUAGUUUUUCUUAACAGUUGAGAAAAUUUUACAAAAGUUUUAGCUUUAGUUGACUCAACUGCGUUGUUUCAGUUUAUAUGCCAACAAUACACUAUUGAAAUUGUUUUGAUCUGUUCUUUUUUAGAAAGCAGAUCCUGCACUGUUCAGCUGUACUAUGUGGUUAUUCUGACUCAAUAUUGCUGUGAUUCUAAUGCUUUGUUUCUACAGUUGAGGUCGUCAUUCUGAGUUGAAAAUUUUUGUGCCUACUGCUGCUGAAUUUAGUGCUCAAGGUGUUGCUGAAGUUCCGGGUUUUG